RNAcentral lists this non-coding RNA (149 nucleotides) under Pan troglodytes (chimpanzee). Lineage: Eukaryota; Metazoa; Chordata; Mammalia; Primates; Hominidae. The record is from Rfam by way of RNAcentral.
GCUGGGCAUGGUGGCGCAUGCCUGUAAUCCCAGCUACUCAGGAUGCUGAGGCAGGAGAAUCGCUUGAACCCAGGAGGCAAAGAUUGGCAGUGAGCUGGGAUUGUGCCACUGCUCUCCAGCCUGGGUGACAGAGUGAGACUCUGUCUCAA